RNAcentral lists this ribosomal RNA (482 nucleotides) under uncultured bacterium. Its description in RNAcentral is "partial 16S ribosomal RNA". It matches the Rfam family "Bacterial small subunit ribosomal RNA", at positions 29 to 523 of the family's 1533-position model. The record is from RNAcentral.
AAUGAACGUUGGCGGCGUGGAUUAGGCAUGCGAGUCGCGCGAGAAUCGUAGCAAUACGAGGAAAGCGGCGAAAGGGAGAGGAAUACGUAGAAAUCUGCCCUCGGGACUGGGAUAGCGGCGGGAAACUGCCGGUAAUACCAGAUAACGUCUUCGGACCAAAGGUGUGAUUCCGCCUGAGGAUGAGUCUACGACCUAUUAGCUUGUUGGCGGGGCAAUGGCCCACCAAGGCGACGAUGGGUAGCAGGUCUGAGAGCACGACCUGCCUCAUUGGGACUGGGACUCUGCCCAGACACCUACGGGUGGCUGCAGUCGAGAAUCUUCGGCAAUGGACGAAAGUCUGACCGAGCGACGCCGCGUGCGGGAUGAAGGCCUUCGGGUUGUAAACCGCUGUCGUAGGGAACCAAAUUCACGGGGGUUCUCCCCUGUGAUUGAGAGAACCUAGGAGGAAGGAGAGGCUAAGCUCGUGCCAGCAGCCGCGGUAA